RNAcentral lists this ribosomal RNA (253 nucleotides) under uncultured bacterium. Its description in RNAcentral is "partial 16S ribosomal RNA". It matches the Rfam family "Bacterial small subunit ribosomal RNA", at positions 524 to 776 of the family's 1533-position model. The record is from RNAcentral.
UACGUAGGGGCCGAGCGUUGUCCGGAUUUAUUGGGCGUAAAGAGCUCGUAGGCGGCCAUUCAAGUCGAAUGUGAAAUCUCGAGGCUUAACCUCGAGCCUGCAUUCGAUACUGGGCGGCUAGAGUCUGGUAGGGGGAUCUGGAAUUCCUGGUGUAGCGGUGGAAUGCGCAGAUAUCAGGAGGAACACCGGUGGCGAAGGCGGGAUCCUGGGCCAGUACUGACGCUGAGGAGCGAAAGCGUGGGGAGCAAACAGG